Molecule: ribosomal RNA, 288 nt
Filed under: Didymosphaeria variabile
Lineage: Eukaryota; Fungi; Ascomycota; Dothideomycetes; Pleosporales; Didymosphaeriaceae
Description: 5.8S ribosomal RNA
Rfam family: 5.8S ribosomal RNA (bases 61-214)
About the family: 5.8S ribosomal RNA (5.8S rRNA) is a component of the large subunit of the eukaryotic ribosome.
Source: RNAcentral
AACUUAACAAUAACCUUUUUUGCAUCUAGCAUUACCUGUUCUGAUACAAACAAUCGUUACAACUUUCAACAAUGGAUCUCUUGGCUCUGGCAUCGAUGAAGAACGCAGCGAAAUGCGAUAAGUAGUGUGAAUUGCAGAAUUCAGUGAAUCAUCGAAUCUUUGAACGCACAUUGCGCCCCUUGGUAUUCCAUGGGGCAUGCCUGUUCGAGCGUCAUCUACACCCUCAAGCUCUGCUUGGUGUUGGGCGUCUGUCCCGCCUUUGCGCGUGGACUCGCCCCAAAUUCAUUG